GGUAGCCGGCCUGAGAGGGCGACCGGCCACACUGGGACUGAGACACGGCCCAGACUCCUACGGGAGGCAGCAGUGGGGAAUAUUGCACAAUGGGCGAAAGCCUGAUGCAGCGACGCCGCGUGAGGGAUGACGGCCUUCGGGUUGUAAACCUCUUUCAGUAGGGAAGAAGCGAAAGUGACGGUACCUGCAGAAGAAGCGCCGGCUAACUACGUGCCAGCAGCCGCGGUAAUACGUAGGGCGCAAGCGUUGUCCGGAAUUAUUGGGCGUAAAGAGCUCGUAGGUGGCUUGUCGCGUCUGCCGUGAAAACCCGAGGCUCAACCUCGGGCGUGCGGUGGGUACGGGCAGGCUAGAGUGUGGUAGGGGAGACUGGAACUCCUGGUGUAGCGGUGAAAUGCGCAGAUAUCAGGAAGAACACCGAUGGCGAAGGCAGGUCUCUGGGCCAUUACUGACACUGAGGAGCGAAAGCAUGGGUAGCGAACAGGAUUAGAUACCCUGGUAGUCCAUGCCGUAAACGUUGGGCACUAGAUGUGGGGAACAUUCCACGUUUUCCGCGUCGUAGCUAACGCAUUAAGUGCCCCGCCUGGGGAGUACGGCCGCAAGGCUAAAACUCAAAGGAAUUGACGGGGGCCCGCACAAGCGGCGGAGCAUGCUGAUUAAUUCGAUGCAACGCGAAGAACCUUACCAAGGCUUGACAUGCACCGGACGACUCCAGAGAUGGGGUUUUCUUCGGACUGGUGCACAGGUGGUGCAUGGUUGUCGUCAGCUCGUGUCGUGAGAUGUUGGGUUAAGUCCCGCAACGAGCGCAACCCUUGUUCUAUGUUGCCAGCACGUGAUGGUGGGGACUCAUAGGAGACUGCCGGGGUCAACUCGGAGGAAGGUGGGGACGACGUCAAAUCAUCAUGCCCCUUAUGUCUUGGGCUUCAAGCAUGCUACAAUGGUCGGUACAAUGGGUUGCGAAACUGUGAGGUGGAGCGAAUCCCAAAAAGCCGGCCUCAGUUCGGAUUGGGGUCUGCAACUCGACCCCAUGAAGUCGGAGUCGCUAGUAAUCGCAGAUCAGCAACGCUGCGGUGAAUACGUUCCCGGGCCUUGUACACACCGCCCGUCAAGUCACGAAAGUCGGUAACACCCGAAGCCAGUGGCCCAUCCUCGUGAGGGAG
This 1157-nucleotide ribosomal RNA is filed under the name Brachybacterium vulturis. Its description in RNAcentral is "bacterial SSU rRNA". It matches the Rfam family "Bacterial small subunit ribosomal RNA", at positions 282 to 1448 of the family's 1533-position model. Lineage: Bacteria; Bacillati; Actinomycetota; Actinomycetes; Micrococcales; Dermabacteraceae. The record is from RNAcentral.